This is a long non-coding RNA of Salvelinus fontinalis (brook trout), 3535 nucleotides long. RefSeq lists it as uncharacterized. The record is from RefSeq and is a predicted model, not a curated record. The transcript has 2 exons. Lineage: Eukaryota; Metazoa; Chordata; Actinopteri; Salmoniformes; Salmonidae.
ACUCCGCGUCAGGGACGAGGCGACUCCGCGUCAGGGACGAGGCGACUCCGCGUCAGGGACGAGGCGACUCCGCGUCAGGGACGAGGCGACUCCGCGUCAGGGACGAGGCGACUCCAGUCCUCAGAAGUCUGAUUUAGUGUCACACUUUUUCCCCAGGCCCAGCUAACACACCUGACUCCAAUAAUCAUCUGAUUAUGAUCUAUCGGUUUAGAAUGCAAUUAGUUUUAACUACGGUGUGUUAGCCAAGGGUAGAGGAAAACGUGUGACUUUGGCCCUUGACAACUGGAGUUUACACAUCCCUGCCCUACAUAGUGCACUACUUUUAACUGAGAGUCCUAUGGGCCUUGGUCAAAAGUAAUGCACUGUAGAGAAUAGGGUGCUAUUUUGGACGUAUCCGUAGUUAGGAAAAUGAGGGAUAUUCCUUCACAGCUCUGACGUGUGCGUCCUGACUGCCCUCUGAAGCUCAUGGCAACGCGUGAGCUCAUGGAAGCUCAUGGCAGAAGCUCAUGGCAACGCGUGAGCUUCUGGUCCCUGGCAUCUGACUAACCCGGUCACCUGUGCCACAGGGUCACACAACAGAACACACACAACAGAACACACACACACACACACACACACAAACUAGAAAGCUGAUCUCUGGCAGCUCUGACGCCGAGGCCACCUGUGGAACAGUGUCAACAGAAAUCAGAUGAGGAUGUGAUGAGACUGUUAUUGGGUGACAUGCCUAUUAAUUUAUCCAUCCUACCUUCCCUCCGCCUAUUAAUUUAUCCAUCCUACCUUCCCUCCCGCCUAUCAUUUCUCCAUCCUACCUUCCCUCCGCCUAUUCAUUUCUCCCCUCAUCCUACCUUCCCUCCCGCCUAUUCAUUUCUCCCCUCAUCCUACCUUCCCUCCGCCUAUUCAUUUCUUCCCUCAUCCUACCUUCCCUCCGCCUAUUAAUUUCUCCCUUCAUCCUACCUUCCCUCCCGCCUAUUCAUUUCUCCCCUCAUCCUACCUUCCCUCCCGCCUAUUCAUUUCUCCCCUCAUCCUACCUUCCCUCCCGCCUAUUCAUUUCUCCCCUCAUCCUACCUUCCCUCCCGCCUAUUCAUUUCUCCCCUCAUCCUACCUUCCCUCCGCCUAUUCAUUUCUUCCCUCAUCCUACCUUCCCUCCGCCUAUUAAUUUCUCCCUUCAUCCUACCUUCCCUCCCGCCUAUUCAUUUCUCCCCUCAUCCUACCUUCCCUCCCGCCUAUUCAUUUCUCCCCUCAUCCUACCUUCCCUCCCGCCUAUUCAUUUCUCCCCUCAUCCUACCUUCCCUCCCGCCUAUUCAUUUCUCCCCUCAUCCUACCUUCCCUCCCGCCUAUUCAUUUCUCCCCUCAUCUUACCUUCCCUCCCGCCUAUUCAUUUCUCCCCUCAUCCUACCUUCCCUCCCGCCUAUUCAUUUCUCCCCUCAUCCUACCUUCCCUCCCGCCUAUCAUUUCUAUCCCUCCCCUCCCUCCUCUAUCCCUCCCCCUCUCUCCCUCUAUCCCUCCCCGCUCUAUUCCCUCACCCCUCUAUUUCCUCCCCCCUCUAUUCCCUCACCCCUAUAUUUCCUCCCCCCUCUAUUUCCUCACCCCUGCCUAUUCAUUCAUUACCCUUUCUAUUCCCCAUGCGGGCAAAUCAAUCCUCCGUGUGUGUACCUUCACACAAAGCCCUAUUGACUUUCAUAACUGAAUCUCUCAUCUUUCCCCUUUUUUCUUUUUGCCUGUCUGUGAGCAAGGUCUUUUACAUUGUGUAACAGAAGUACCUUGUUGAGUAGAGGUGAAUCUUACAAGGGGCUUUUGAAUCAUGGGCAUUCAACACAAACACUCCCAUUAUCUUAUUUUUUUUUUUAAAAGGUGGCGUUAAACAUCGCUGAUGUCACCGUUGGUCCCGGGCCAGGGACGGGGCGACUCCACGUCAGGGACGGGCCGACGGUAGGAACACGUUGUGCUGUCUGACUAUUCAUUGAACGAGGCAUGUAUCUGCACUGUGAACAAGGCAUAUAUCUACACUGUGAACGAGGCAAACGAGGUUCACAGUAGGAAUCCUGUCUGCAGUAGGAUGGAGUAUGUAGGAAUCCUGGAUGUAUGAAACCAUUUCCUCUCACAGCUUUGCAGUAGUCUCUGAGUCUGAUCAGUCCAGGUAAUUUCACCCCACAAACCCUCACAGUUUAAUGAACCACAUGAUUACACCCAACUGGUUGUUCUGACGAGUCUCCCCAAACCCCCACAGUCACAUCAUUACACCCAACUGGUUGUUCUGACGAUUCUCCCCAAACCCCCACAGUCACAUGAUUACACCCAACUGGUUGUUCUGACGAGGGGGAAUGUCAUGACUCUCCUGUGAUGAUCUGAAGGAUCAGGUUACAGGUCCGCUCUACAGCGUACUCUCUCUCUCGUAGAGGGGGGAGAGCGGGAAGUCGACUGUUUUAAUGGCGGUCGUUAAAAUACGCUGCCUCUAUGCUCUGUAGUGUUCGAGAUUGGAAUGUAAACUGUGGAACACAGAGAGACAGACACUUGGACAAUCAAAAGUUUGAAUAAUUAAACAAUAUUUCUAUUUUUGAGAAUGUGGGAAUGGUCCGUGGGUAUUUAAAGAACAAUUCUGUCAAAGUUGCUUCAUUUGGUGAAAGACAGGAGACCCACAUUACUGCAUCUCUGUUUCUGUUAGAUUUACAUCUAUAUGUUAGAUACAAUUAAUAAAUAUGAAACUAUUUGUGAAAAGUUGUAAUGUGAUGUUAGCCUUCUAAAUGAGAGUAUGGAUUUUCAUAUAAAGAUUAUCUAGUCAGUGGCCACGCCCCCGUGAGGCCAGACAUUACAUCAGGUGCCCCUUUUUUUCCACAGAGUAUAAAACCAUUUCCUACAAAAUGUACAUUAAGUCAGAGAACGCCCGGGACGGAGUCCCCACGUUGGAAUGACUACAAUUCUAUAGGCCAUUAGACUAGAAAACAUGCAGCUGACGCUACAUGUGAAAUGGUUAAGAGCUACACCUCUAUAGGCCACGGAGACCAUACGGCGUGUAGCGUUGGCUACACGGCUAGAAAUGGUUAUAAAAACAUUACCACAGAAGGAGAAGAGACAAGGACUUUUCAGUCUGCAGCUGAAAUGUACGUAGCCUAGGACGAAGAAUACCCAACGACCGCCGAAACAUCUAUCUACGCGACAACCUGGGUACGCCUGAUGAAUCCAUUAGGAAUGCAACUAGAGACUUUUCUAUUGACUCUCUCCAGCAGAUGGACCGGCGACCACAGAGCGAGACAAGACAUACAAUCGUAAAUAUGUAAAUUGUUAUUUAUUAUCAAAUGAGCGGUUGUUCAUGUUCAAAGUACUAGCAAUUUCUAUGUGUGUAGUUAUCAGCUAUGAGUCUCCCACUCUUGAGCGGUCCCCAACCCCUUUCCUUUGUUUACCAAGCCGUCAUAUCGUUUUUUUUGUCCACUAGGGACUUUUUCUUUGUAUCAUGUAAUACUCAAUGUAUGAUCUAAUUGUGUGUUUCAUGUAUUUCUGUGAUUUGAUUUGUUAGUUAGUAAAUAAAUAAUUAAGCCAA